Molecule: ribosomal RNA, 468 nt
Filed under: uncultured bacterium
Lineage: Bacteria
Description: partial 16S ribosomal RNA
Rfam family: Bacterial small subunit ribosomal RNA
Source: RNAcentral
GACGAACGCUGGCGGCGUGCCUAACACAUGCAAGUCGAACGGAACUGCUCUACUUUUGUGGGGUGCUACACUGGCGAAAGGGUGUGUAUCACGUACGUAACCUGCCCAUGACUUUGAGCUACCUUCAGGAAACUGGGGCUACUACCGGAUAGGAGCUCAUGCUGCAUGAUGAUGGUUGGCACGUUUCGGCGGUUGUAGAUGGACUUGCGGCUCAUCAGCUUGUUGGUCGGGUAGUGGCUUACCAAGGCGUUGACGGGUAGCCGGCCUUAGAGGUUGACCAGCCACCUUGGGCCUGAGAGACGGCCCAGUCGCGAACCGUAGGCAGUAGUGGGGAGUAUUGUAGAAUGGGGGGAAGUCUGAUGCGGCAACGCUCCGUGCGGGAAGACGGCUUUCGGGUUGUAAACCGCUGUCGCCUGUGACGAAGAGGGAGUGACGGUAAUUGGUAAAGAAGCACCGGCUAACUACGUG